GUCCGGAUUGGAGUCUGCAACUCGACUCCAUGAAGUCGGAAUCGCUAGUAAUCGUAGAUCAGAAUGCUACGGUGAAUACGUUCCCGGGCCUUGUACACACCGCCCGUCACACCAUGGGAGUGGGUUGCAAAAGAAGUAGGUAGCUUAACCUUCGGGAGGGCGCUUACCACUUUGUGAUUCAUGACUGGGGUGAAGUCGUAACAAGGUAACCGUAGGGG
This 218-nucleotide ribosomal RNA is filed under the name Klebsiella pneumoniae. RNAcentral's name for it is "partial 16S ribosomal RNA". It matches the Rfam family "Bacterial small subunit ribosomal RNA", at positions 1291 to 1508 of the family's 1533-position model. Lineage: Bacteria; Pseudomonadati; Pseudomonadota; Gammaproteobacteria; Enterobacterales; Enterobacteriaceae. The record is from RNAcentral.